AGGCUGGGUUCCUUUGUAUGUUGUCUUUAAGUCGGUUUUCUUUUGCGAGUCUAUGAAACACGGCCUGAUUCUCAGUUGGUUCUUCCAGCAAUUUUGUUGCUACAAAUCCAAGAGUACGAAGGCUGUUCACACCACUGGAGCAGGAAAGACUCACCUAACUUUGCCAGCCUAGGACUUCAGGGGGCUUACCUUUCAUUCGUCUGCAUGGGGAAAACGACGACGAGUGGCCUUUGGGAAAUGGCACAGCCCAGCUGCAGGAGGCCGGAACCAGCCGUUGGCUUGGGCACCGAAGAGAAGAGAUGUCUGGCCACAAGGGUGCCCCCUCUCACUCCAGAUGUUGCUCAGUGGGCCUGGGGGAAGAAGGGAGCCGUGUGAUGCAGACAGAGAGCUCAGGGCAAGAGACGAAGGCCACACACCAGGGCUGGAAGGGGCAGGGCCCCACCAGGGGCCCAUUUCUCCCCAAGGUGACACAGGGCAGCUUCCUCACAGGGCUGGAUCAGGUAAGGCCCGCCGGGCCCCGCUGGGACCUCAUCGGUUGGGACUUUUCGCUGGCUGCGGAGGUGCACCGCAGACCCAGGCAGCUUCGUGGCCUGGGGACCUGCCUAACCGCUCUGGGUGAUGUGACAAGGAGUUCCGGUCCCCUCCCAGGUCCCACCUGCCCAGGGAGCUGCAGCGAGCAGCUGAAUGGUGUGGCUCCACCCUGAGCCCACAGGGAGGCUUACCUGGCAGACACAUACCCCAGCCUGUUUUCCAGGGGGGCAGGGCCACUGCUGAGGAACGGGAUGCCAGCUGGAAAAGCGGGAGGAAAGCGUUCAGAAAUGGGCAGCGGUCCAUCUGAGCCAGCCCCCUCCUGCCUUCCCCGAGAAACUGCAAAGGCACUGCCCCCCAGACAAAAACAGGAGAAGCUUCUGUGGUUGGAGGUGAGAGA
Globicephala melas (long-finned pilot whale) is the source of this 928-nucleotide long non-coding RNA. RefSeq lists it as uncharacterized. Lineage: Eukaryota; Metazoa; Chordata; Mammalia; Artiodactyla; Delphinidae. The record is from RefSeq and is a predicted model, not a curated record.